This 628-nucleotide ribosomal RNA is filed under the name uncultured Bacteroidales bacterium. RNAcentral's name for it is "bacterial SSU rRNA". It matches the Rfam family "Bacterial small subunit ribosomal RNA", at positions 90 to 715 of the family's 1533-position model. Lineage: Bacteria; Pseudomonadati; Bacteroidota; Bacteroidia; Bacteroidales. The record is from RNAcentral.
GGCGACCGGCGCACGGGUGAGUAACGCGUAUGCAACCCUCCUAUCAGAGGGGGAUAACCCGGCGAAAGUCGGACUAAUCCUGCAUAAAACAGGGGCACCGCAUGGUGAUAUUUGUUAAAAAUUUAUUGCUGAUAGAUGGGCAUGCGUUCCAUUAGGUAGUUGGAGAGGUAACGGCUCACCAAGCCUACGAUGGAUAGGGGAACUGAGAGGUUGGUCCCCCACACUGGUACUGAGACACGGACCAAACUCCUACGGGAGGCAGCAGUGAGGAAUAUUGGUCAAUGGGCGAGAGCCUGAACCAGCCAAGUCGCGUGAAGGAAGAAGGAUCUAUGGUUCGUAAACUUCUUUUGCAGGGGAAUAAAGUGCAGGACGUGUCCUGUUUUGUAUGUACCCUGAGAAUAAGGAUCGGCUAACUCCGUGCCAGCAGCCGCGGUAAUACGGAGGAUCCGAGCGUUAUCCGGAUUUAUUGGGUUUAAAGGGUGCGUGGGUGGUUUAAUAAGUCAGCGGUGAAAGUUUGCAGCUUAACUGUAAAAAUGCCGUUGAAACUGUUAGACUUGAGUGUAAAUGAGGUAGGCGGAAUGCGUGGUGUAGCGGUGAAAUGCUUAGAUAUCACGAAAAACUCCGAUUG